This 774-nucleotide ribosomal RNA is filed under the name uncultured Neocallimastigales. RNAcentral's name for it is "partial large subunit ribosomal RNA". It matches the Rfam family "Eukaryotic large subunit ribosomal RNA", at positions 24 to 645 of the family's 3401-position model. Lineage: Eukaryota; Fungi; Neocallimastigomycota; Neocallimastigomycetes; Neocallimastigales. The record is from RNAcentral.
GUAGUCUCGCACAGAUGCAUAUCAAUAAGCGGAGGAAAAGAAACUAACUAGGAUUCCCUCAGUAACGGCGAGUGAAGCGGGAAGAGCUCAAAUUUGAAAUCUUCAAGGUUCUACCUUGACGAAUUGUAGUUUAAAGAAGUGUUUUCUGUUGGAGUUUUGGUAAAAGUUCUUUGGAAUAGGACAUCAUAGAGGGUGAGAAUCCCGUAUUUGACCAUUAUUUCCAGCUUUGUGAUACACUUUCAAAGAGUCGGAUUGUUCGGGAAUGCAGUCCAAAAUGGGUGGUAAAUAUCAUCUAAAGCUAAAUAUUGGCGAGAGACCGAUAGCGAACAAGUACCGUGAGGGAAAGAUGAAAAGAACUUUGAAAAGAGAGUUAAACAGUACGUGAAAUUGUCAAAAGGGAAGCGUUUGACACCAAUGUUGUUUUCUCGAAAAUCAAUUAAAAAAGGCAGGAUUUUGUGUUGUAUUGACUUUAUCAGCUUUCUGCACUCUUUUCUUGUCUUUUUUAAUGCACUUUUCGUUUAACAAGUCAACAUCAAUUUCUUUUGUUGUAAAAGGGUCAUUGGAAGGUGGCUUUCUUUUCGGAGAAAGUGUUUAUAGCCUUUGGCCUCUGCAAUCGGAGAGAUUGAGGUCUGCAGCGUAGAUCCUUCGGGGUUAGAUACAUUUGUGCUAAGUUAUAGCCUUUCAUAGACAACUUGUUGACUAUGAUCAGUCAUGUAGCUUACUCGCUUAUGCUAUUUUACCUACGCUUAGGAUGUUGAAGUCAUCGUAUCGCGC